AUGCUCUCUCUCACUGUCUGUGUUCAUGUGUACUGCUGCUUCAAUUUCUUUGUGAUGCAAAUGUUGUUGAUGAAAAUUUUGUGUAAUAAAAAGCUACAAAAAAAAUCAGUUUUUCUUGUUGCGAAAAUUUCCGAAUUUUGCUCUGGUCUAGCAGUUCGACAUAUAUUCUACUUCAGUUCAGUAUGUCAUUUCAGUUUAGUACGUCGGAGUAUCAUGUACGUCAGUUCAGUUCAGUACAAAAACAUUAGAGAUUCGACAGACAUAAUCAUGUCGCACAAGUUCAAGUAUAGAUACAGAAGUUUCUCACCAUAA
This 312-nucleotide ribosomal RNA is filed under the name Triticum aestivum (bread wheat). RNAcentral describes it as "partial small subunit ribosomal RNA". Lineage: Eukaryota; Viridiplantae; Streptophyta; Magnoliopsida; Poales; Poaceae. The record is from RNAcentral.